GCCUCCGUAGCUCAGUUGGUAGAGCACUUCACUCGUAAUGAAGGGGUCAGCGGUUCAAGUCCGCUCGGAGGCU
This 73-nucleotide transfer RNA is filed under the name Patulibacter sp. RNAcentral's name for it is "tRNA-Thr". It matches the Rfam family "tRNA". Rfam says of the family: Transfer RNA (tRNA) molecules are approximately 80 nucleotides in length. Their secondary structure includes four short double-helical elements and three loops (D, anti-codon, and T loops). Lineage: Bacteria; Bacillati; Actinomycetota; Thermoleophilia; Solirubrobacterales; Patulibacteraceae. The record is from RNAcentral. RNAcentral also lists the same sequence under 1 other name.